UACGUAGGGGGCUAGCGUUGUCCGGAUUUAUUGGGCGUAAAGCGCGUGUAGGCGGCUUUGCAAGUCGGGUGUGAAAGCCCUCAGCUCAACUGAGGAAGUGCGCCCGAAACUGCAGAGCUUGAGUACCGGAGAGGAUGGCGGAAUUCCCCAAGUAGAGGUGAAAUUCGUAGAUAUGGGGAGGAACACCGGUGGCGAAGGCGGCCAUCUGGACGGAUACUGACGCUGAGACGCGAAAGCGUGGGUAGCAAACAGG
Molecule: ribosomal RNA, 253 nt
Filed under: uncultured bacterium
Lineage: Bacteria
Description: partial 16S ribosomal RNA
Rfam family: Bacterial small subunit ribosomal RNA
Source: RNAcentral